GAUGAACGCUGGCGGCGUGCCUAAUACAUGCAAGUAGAACGCUGAGGGAGGAGCUUGCUCUUCUGGAUGAGUUGCGAACGGGUGAGUAACGCGUAGGUAACCUGCCUGGUAGCGGGGGAUAACUAUUGGAAACGAUAGCUAAUACCGCAUGACAACAGUUAUUGCAUGAUAACUGUUGAAAAGGGGCAACUGCUCCACUACCAGAUGCACCUGCGUUGUAUGAGCUAGUUGGUGAGGUAAAGGCUCACCAAGGCGGCGAUACAUAGCCGACCUGUGAGGGGGAGCAGCCACACUGAGAGUGAGACACGGCCCAGAGGCCUACGGGAGGCAGCAGUAGGGAAUCGGCGGCAAGGGACGGAAGACUGAGCGAGCAACGCCGCGUGAGGGUAGAAGGUUUCCGGAUCGUAGAGCUCUGUUGUAAGAGAAGAACGAGUGUGAGAGUGGAAAGUACACACUGUGACGGUAUCUUACCAGAAAGGGACGGCUAACUACGUG
RNAcentral lists this ribosomal RNA (495 nucleotides) under uncultured bacterium. RNAcentral's name for it is "partial 16S ribosomal RNA". It matches the Rfam family "Bacterial small subunit ribosomal RNA", at positions 28 to 507 of the family's 1533-position model. The record is from RNAcentral.